GCAUGCUUCUUUCAAGCUCUGUUAGCAUGAACUAGGCUUCAAGAUUCCAAAAGCCUAGUUCAUGUCAAGAGAGUGUGAAGAAAGCAAGA
Molecule: microRNA precursor, 89 nt
Organism: Anolis carolinensis (green anole)
Lineage: Eukaryota; Metazoa; Chordata; Lepidosauria; Squamata; Anolidae
Product: aca-mir-5444b
Source: Ensembl